Homo sapiens (human) is the source of this 192-nucleotide long non-coding RNA. NCBI's taxonomy places the organism in Eukaryota, Metazoa, Chordata, Mammalia, Primates, Hominidae. The record is from Ensembl.
UACACUAGAUUCUCCAUCAUUCCUCUGCCUCACAGCAGUCCCAGAAGAGGAAGGCUGCAGGCCCAGUUCCCGGAGCACUGCCAUCACCCUACCCCAGCUUACAGAAGAGCUCAGGGGUGGCUGGAGCACGGAGGGAGAUGGAGUGGCAAGGCAGUGAAUGACAUGCGUGAUGUUGGGGCUGUUGCAACAUGG